Molecule: long non-coding RNA, 487 nt
Organism: Anguilla anguilla (European eel)
Lineage: Eukaryota; Metazoa; Chordata; Actinopteri; Anguilliformes; Anguillidae
Exons: 3
Source: RefSeq, a predicted model, not a curated record
UGGGUUGGGUUGGGUUGAUCUAUGGAUUGAGGCCAUUUAUGCCAAAUUCUGACCCUACCAUCUGCUUGUUGCAGCCAAAAUUGAGAUUUGUAAAACUGACCGGAGUGGAGCCUGAUGUGGUCUUCUGCUGCUGUAGCCCAUCCACUUCAAGGUUUCACACAUUAGACUAGUGUGGAAAACCCAGAGAGGGCAGCUGCUUCUGAGAUGCUGGAACCACCACGUCUGGCACCAACAAUCAUACCACAGUCAGAGUUGCUUAUAUUAUGCGUUUUCUAAUUUUCGGUCAAACUUCAACUAUAAACUAUUUCUGCAUGCUUUAUACAUUGAAUUGCAGCCACAUGAUCCACUGUUUGGAGAAGCAGGCUAUUUGCCUUAAUGAGUGGGUGUACUUAAUAAACUGGCCACGGAGUGUAUAAUCAGUCACGAUCUGCCAUGCCAGACAUUCAAUAUUUAAUGAAAAAUAAAUAAACUACAUUCUCUCCUCUGA